UUAAUUGAAGCCAAAAAGAGGCAUACUACUGUUAAUAGUAAAACUGAGCAAAUAACUCCAAUUAAA
RNAcentral lists this transfer RNA (66 nucleotides) under Platycnemis foliacea. RNAcentral describes it as "tRNA-Asn". Lineage: Eukaryota; Metazoa; Arthropoda; Insecta; Odonata; Platycnemididae. The record is from RNAcentral.